Molecule: transfer RNA, 358 nt
Filed under: uncultured Microcystis sp.
Lineage: Bacteria; Bacillati; Cyanobacteriota; Cyanophyceae; Chroococcales; Microcystaceae
Description: partial 16S-23S ribosomal RNA intergenic spacer
Rfam family: tRNA (bases 133-206)
Source: RNAcentral
AAGGGAGACCUAAUUCCGGUAGGAGACGAAAAAAAAGUAGUCCCAACUAAGAAUCAAUCCCAAAAGGUCGGAGCGAGGUAUGAGGCUUUCAAACUAGGUUCUGGGUUCAUAAAAGACCUGAAUCAGGAACAAGGGCUAUUAGCUCAGGUGGUUAGAGCGCACCCCUGAUAAGGGUGAGGUCCCUGGUUCGAGUCCAGGAUGGCCCACCUGCACAGGUGGCAAAAACAAGAGAAGCUCCGAAUCAGCACCUUAUCUUAUAUACAUAUAUAAGAGAGAAUGCUGGCUCUGAGUAAAGAGUCCAGAGGAACCUUGAAAACUGCAUAGAGCUAGGUGAAAAAGCCAAAAAAGAAGACCGCAA